This 947-nucleotide ribosomal RNA is filed under the name Lucanus maculifemoratus maculifemoratus. RNAcentral's name for it is "partial 16S ribosomal RNA". The stretch from base 363 to 947 matches the Rfam family "Archaeal large subunit ribosomal RNA", at positions 1423 to 2653 of the family's 2987-position model. The record is from RNAcentral. Lineage: Eukaryota; Metazoa; Arthropoda; Insecta; Coleoptera; Lucanidae.
UUUUCUCGAAUUUUGGAGGGCUAAAAAUUAAUAAAUUUUAAUGUGAAAAAAUUAUUUAUAAUUAGUUUUUUGUAAUUAAACGUUAGUCGUUCUUUAUAAUAUCUAGUUUCCUAAGAAAUUAAUUUAAUUAACUGGAGUGAAAUGAUUUCUUAUUUUUAAGAGAAAUUUUUACGUUUAGAAUAUCUAGGGGGAAAAGCUCUUAGGUAAAUUUUUAUAAUAGACUAGUUUUUAAUAAUUAAUAGGAUUUGAAGUUUCCAUUUUUAAUGUGUUUUAACUAAAUUUUAAAAAUAAUUAAUUUUUUUUUGUUUAAGUGGUUUAUUAGGAUAAAGGCUUUAAUAGAUAAGUUUUGUAAAAAUGAUAAAAUUAGUAGAAUUAAAUGUAGCAUAAUAAUAGUUAAUUUAGAAUUAUUUUAAGGAAUUAGGCAAAUUUCUUUUCGCCUGUUUAAUAAAAACAUGGCUUUUUGAUAAUAAUUUAAGGUCAGGCCUGCCCAAUGAUAAUUUAAAUGGCUGCGGUAUAUUGACCGUGCAAAGGUAGCAUAAUCAUUAGUUUUUUUAUUGGAAGCUGGAAUGAAGGGUUUAACGAGAAAGAAGCUGUCUUAAUUUAAUUAUUUGAAUUUUAUAUUUGAGUGAGAAAGCUUAAAUAGUUUUGAGGGACGAGAAGACCCUAUAGAAUUUAAUAGUUAAGAUAUUUUAAAAUUUUGGUUUAUGUCAAUUAAUAUAAAUAAUAACUAAUUUGUUGGGGUGAUGAAAAAAUUUAAAUAACUUUUUUUUACAUUUUUCAUUAAUAAAUGAUUAUUUGAUCCAUUAACAAUGAUUAUAAGAAAAAAUUACCUUAGGGAUAACAGCGUUAUUAAUCUGGAGAGCUCAAAUCGAUAGAUUAGUUUGCGACCUCGAUGUUGGAUUAAAAUUGGCUUUUGGUGAAGGGACUAAUGAGCUGAGUCUGUUCGA